Molecule: ribosomal RNA, 966 nt
Filed under: uncultured fungus
Lineage: Eukaryota; Fungi
Description: eukaryotic LSU rRNA
Rfam family: Eukaryotic large subunit ribosomal RNA (bases 303-966)
Source: RNAcentral
AUCGAUGAAGAACGCAGCGAAAUGUGAUAAGUAAUGUGAAUUGCAGAAUUCAGUGAAUCAUCGAAUCUUUGAACGCACCUUGCGCUCGCUGGUAUUCCGGCGAGCAUGUCUGUUUGAGUGUCAUGAACUCUUCAACUUCUUGUUCCUAGUGAACAAUGAAUGUUUGGAUUCUGGGCGUUGUAUUCGUUUACUCGCCCGUAAUAAAUUAGCAAAUCUAAUUCGAACUCGGAUUGACUUGAUGUAAUAGACUAUUCAUCGAGGACGAGCUCAGCGGAUAGCUUCAAAUAACAAAGUCAACUUUUAGACCUCAGAUCAGGCAGGAUUACCCGCUGAACUUAAGCAUAUCAAUAAGCGGAGGAAAAGAAACUAACCAGGAUUCCCCUAGUAACGGCGAGUGAAGCGGGACGAGCUCAAAUUUGUAAUCUGGCUGCUUUGCAGUCCGAGUUGUAAUCUCGAGAAGUUUUUUCCGCGCUGGAAGGCAUACAAGUCUGUUGGAAUACAGCGUCAUAGUGGUGAGAACCCCGUAGAUGAUGUCUCUCCCAGCGCUCUGUGAUAAACUUUCGAAGAGUCGAGUUGUUUGGGAAUGCAGCUCAAAUUGGGUGGUAAAUUCCAUCUAAAGCUAAAUAUUGGCGAGAGACCGAUAGCGAACAAGUACCGUGAGGGAAAGAUGAAAAGCACUUUGGAAAGAGAGUUAACAGUACGUGAAAUUGUUGGAAGGGAAACGCUUGAAGUCGGACUUGGCAGUUGGUGUUCAGCCCUCGGGUGUACUCAUCGACGACCAGGCCAGCAUCAAUUUUUGGGCGCUAAAAAGGGCGAGUUGAAGGUGGCAUCUCAUGAUGUGUUAUAGCUUCUCGCUGGAUUGGCGCCCGGGGAUUGAGGAACGCGGCGUGCUUAUUGCACUCCCCUCGGGGAGAUCACGCCUAGGAUGCUGGUAAUCGGCUUUAAACGACCCGUCUUGAAACACGG